GGAAGAGCAUGAGCUAGAGAGAGAAAUGAAGAAGGAAAGAAAGAAGGAGAGGAAGAAGAAGAAGGGAUUCAAAAUCCCUAGGUGUAGGUGCACAAGAGGAGAAUCAACCUUGUGGUAUUGAUUUCUAUCAAGGAGGUAGAAAAUAUGGUUUCUCUUUGGCACGCAUGGUGAUGUGGGGAGUUGCGACGUCGGGGUGUGUAUGAUGUGGGGGUAUCC
Long non-coding RNA from Humulus lupulus (European hop), 216 nucleotides. RefSeq lists it as uncharacterized. NCBI's taxonomy places the organism in Eukaryota, Viridiplantae, Streptophyta, Magnoliopsida, Rosales, Cannabaceae. The transcript is spliced from 3 exons. The record is from RefSeq and is a predicted model, not a curated record.